UCGGCUGAGAAGCUAGGAGUUCUGCUUUUUUGGUUUGCACCAAAUCUAUGACAUCUCUGAUGAGGGAAUCCUGAAUUUCGCAUGUCUUCUUGUUAGUAUAUGCUUCCCUCAUGACAUCAACAUGAUCAACGGGAUUACCGCCAUUUGCUUCGACCUAAACACAAAGUUAAUCAAUAAAUAUGUAAAAAUAUUAAAAAAUAUAUAUUUUAAAUAAAUAGAACUUACAAGCUGGUCCUCCAAAGAAGACAUACUGCAAGCCCCGAGGUUGUGGACAAAAACACCUUUCCCGCCACGAUCACUGUUGCGGUUGGCUGCGUUUUUGGCGGACUUUUCCUUAGUCUCCUGCUUCCCCCAAUGCACCUGCAAGUCCUCCCAAACUUUGGUGUUGAUAUUCUUCGGUAUCUUGCCCUU
Molecule: long non-coding RNA, 411 nt
Filed under: Brassica napus (rape)
Lineage: Eukaryota; Viridiplantae; Streptophyta; Magnoliopsida; Brassicales; Brassicaceae
Description: long non-coding RNA (BNAP_LNC015182)
Source: RNAcentral